Non-coding RNA from Triticum aestivum (bread wheat), 125 nucleotides. The record is from Rfam. NCBI's taxonomy places the organism in Eukaryota, Viridiplantae, Streptophyta, Magnoliopsida, Poales, Poaceae.
UUUGUACUCCCUCCAUCCGGAAAUACUUGUCGAAGAAAUGCAUAAAAAUAAAUGUAUCUAGAAUUAAAAUGCGUAUAGAUACAUUCAUUCCUCCAACAAGUAUUUUCGGACGGAGGUUGUACUAC